RNAcentral lists this non-coding RNA (171 nucleotides) under Parerythrobacter lacustris. RNAcentral describes it as "6S RNA". It matches the Rfam family "6S / SsrS RNA". From Rfam's summary of the family: E. coli 6S RNA was the first non coding RNA to be sequenced, but its function was unknown until recently. It consists of 184 nucleotides that fold into an extended hairpin structure with a large single-stranded internal bulge. The record is from RNAcentral. Lineage: Bacteria; Pseudomonadati; Pseudomonadota; Alphaproteobacteria; Sphingomonadales; Erythrobacteraceae.
GCGGGACUGCCCGGCACGAGCCGAUCGAAUAUCCCUGAGGCUAUAAGCAAUCCAUGGGAGCUGUCCCUGCUCUGGAACACGGGUUCGUCCCGGGGACCGGGGCAUACGGCGCCCACCUGACGUUGAGGCGUCAGAGGAUUUCACUGGCAAACGACCCAUGGUGGUUCCGCC